RNAcentral lists this ribosomal RNA (751 nucleotides) under uncultured haloarchaeon. RNAcentral describes it as "bacterial SSU rRNA". It matches the Rfam family "Archaeal small subunit ribosomal RNA", at positions 1 to 755 of the family's 1478-position model. The record is from RNAcentral. Lineage: Archaea; Methanobacteriati; Methanobacteriota; Halobacteria; Halobacteriales; Halobacteriaceae.
UCCGGUUGAUCCUGCCGGAGGCCAUUGCUAUCGGAGUCCGAUUUAGCCAUGCUAGUUGCACGAGUUCAGACUCGUAGCAUAUAGCUCAGUAACACGUGGCCAAACUACCCUACAGACCGCGAUAACCUCGGGAAACUGAGGCCAAUAGCGGAUACAACUCUCAUGCUGGAGUGCCGAGAGUUGGAAACGUUCCGGCGCUGUAGGAUGUGGCUGCGGCCGAUUAGGUAGAUGGUGGGGUAACGGCCCACCAUGCCGAUAAUCGGUACAGGUUGUGAGAGCAAGAGCCUGGAGACGGUAUCUGAGACAAGAUACCGGGCCCUACGGGGCGCAGCAGGCGCGAAACCUUUACACUGCACGACAGUGCGAUAGGGGGACUCCGAGUGUGAGGGCAUAUAGCCCUCGCUUUUCUGUACCGUAAGGUGGUACAGGAACAAGGACUGGGCAAGACCGGUGCCAGCCGCCGCGGUAAUACCGGCAGUCCGAGUGAUGGCCGAUAUUAUUGGGCCUAAAGCGUCCGUAGCUUGCUGUGUAAGUCCAUUGGGAAAUCGACCAGCUCAACUGGUCGGCGUCCGGUGAAAACUACACAGCUUGGGGCCGAGAGACUCAACGGGUACGUCCGGGGUAGGAGUGAAAUCCUGUAAUCCUGGACGGACCACCAAUGGGGAAACCACGUUGAGAGACCGGACCCGACAGUGAGGGACGAAAGCCAGGGUCUCGAACCGGAUUAGAUACCCGGGUAGUCCUGGCUGUA